Molecule: ribosomal RNA, 292 nt
Filed under: uncultured microorganism
Description: partial 16S ribosomal RNA
Rfam family: Bacterial small subunit ribosomal RNA
Source: RNAcentral
CUGCCAGCAGCCGCGGUAAUACCUAAGUGGCAAGCGUUGUCCGGAAUCAUUGGGCGUAAAGCGCGCGCAGGCGGUCCCUUAAGUCUGAUGUGAAAGCCCACGGCUCAACCGUGGAGGGUCAUUGGAAACUGGGGGACUUGAGUGCAGAAGAGGAAAGCGGAAUUCCAAGUGUAGCGGUGAAAUGCGUAGAGAUUUGGAGGAACACCAGUGGCGAAGGCGGCUUUCUGGUCUGUAACUGACGCUGAGGCGCGAAAGCGUGGGGAGCAAACAGGAUUAGAUACCCUGGUAGUCC